RNA transcript from Tarenaya hassleriana, 1898 nucleotides. It is a transcript of the gene named heat stress transcription factor A-5, with no coding region annotated. The record is from RefSeq and is a predicted model, not a curated record. NCBI's taxonomy places the organism in Eukaryota, Viridiplantae, Streptophyta, Magnoliopsida, Brassicales, Cleomaceae. The transcript is spliced from 4 exons.
CAGUUCCCACCUAUCUCUCUUUCAUUCAUCAUCGCCAUUGUUUUCGCCGAGAUCCGUCCAUGGACGACGGAGCUCUAGCUAUCUCUUCCGCUUCUGGAGGAGGAGGAGGACCGGCGCCGUUCCUUCUGAAGACGUAUGAGAUGGUGGAUGAUUCGUCGACGGACGAGAUCGUUUCGUGGAGCGCCAACAAGAACAGCUUCAUCGUCUGGAACCAUCCGGAGUUCGCUCGCCUCCUUCUCCCGACCUACUUCAAGCACAACAACUUUUCUUCCUUCAUUCGUCAGCUCAAUACAUAUGGAUUCCGAAAGAUUGAUCCUGAGAGGUGGGAAUUUGCUAAUGAAUGUUUUGUCAAGGAUCAGAAGCAGCUGCUGAAGAAUCUACACCGAAGAAAACCUAUUCACAGCCACAGUCAGCCACCCACUUCCAUAAUGGACCAAGAAAGAGCAGCAUUGAAAGAAGAAAUGGAUAAGCUCUCUUGUGAAAAAGUUGCUAUAGAAGCAAAGCUUUUGAAGUCAAAACAGCAGAAGUCAACAGCAAAGCUUCAGUUGGAAGAGCUGACCCAGCAGGUAGAUGAUAUGGAGAAGAGGCAGGAGAAUUUGCUGAAUUUCUUAGAAAAGGCCAUCCAAGAUCCUAUAUUUAUUGAAAAAUUUGCCUGUAAAGUUGAGCAAUUGGACAUCUCAGCUUACAACAAAAAGCGAAGAGUCCCUCAAGCUGAGCAUUCAAAGCCACAGUCAGAAAAUUCCCAUUUGGAUAAUAGCAGUAAUAGCUCGAGGCCCGAGCUUGAGAGUAUUUUCCACCAAAGUUUCUCAAAUAAAUUACAGUUAGAGCUCUCCCCGGCUGUUUCAGACAUUAACUUGGUGUCACAUAGUAUACAAAGUUCCAACGACGGAGGGAGCCCGAAGGGGAGACUAUCAGGAGGAGAUCCGAAAGGUGCUCAAACAAGAACAGAAGGCCUGUUAUUUGCACCUGAAGCACCUGAGCUUGCAGAUACCGGGUCAUGCCCAAGAAGAUUACUAUUAAAUGAGAAUACACAAGCAGAGACAUUGCCACUGAGGUUAACUUCUCCAGAGGAAACUGAUGGUGACUUUCCAUGCCAUUUAAAUCUAACCCUGGCAUCUGCUCCAUUACCCGCCGCCAAGACAGCUCCAUUGAUAACAAAGGCAACUCAGAAAAGUCAGGAUGUUGGAAGAUUUCCUGAGUUCAACUUCGAGUCAAGAGAAUCAAACGCAAGUGCGAAGAACACAGCCGCACAGGAAGCAGCUACUGGAAAGCAAGCAACUGUGGCAGCCUCCCCAGCUAGAGUGAAUGAUGUGUUCUGGGAGCAGUUCCUAACUGAAAGACCAGGUUCCUUGGAUAACGAAGAGGCGAGUUCCACUUAUAGGGCAAACCCACGUGAAGAGCAAGAAGAUGGAAGAACCGGCCAAAUGAUGUCUCGAAAUACAAGGAGUAUCGAGCAGCUGACCCUUUAAGUACCCAGAUAGUAUCAACACAUCUGCCAACAAGGUCACAUUGUCCAAGUCCAAGGGCUCGUCUUCAACCUUUUAGUCUCCUUUUUCAGCCACUCCCGAGUAAAAGUAAAUGCAUAGCCGAGUGAUACAGAUAUACAUAGUACAAGAAGCUGUUCUCAUUACACUGUGGUAAAGCCCUUUACCAAAAGUUUUGGAGGAGGAAUCCGAAUCUUGAAUCUUGAGAUGCUUUGAAGAAACUGAUAUUGUAGAGACCCUUUAUGUCAGAACUUGUAACCAGAUGGCCAGUUCUCGAUCUUUUCAAAAUCUUUUAUGGGAAAAGAGAGUCAAGUAUUUCAUUAGUUGAAAUAUGAUAUGACAUUUUCAAUAAAUCUGUAGUGCGAAUAAAUGGUUGGAUUUUGAUUUGUUUGGUCACCUGGAAUUCAGCUAUAA